This 468-nucleotide ribosomal RNA is filed under the name uncultured bacterium. RNAcentral's name for it is "partial 16S ribosomal RNA". It matches the Rfam family "Bacterial small subunit ribosomal RNA", at positions 28 to 507 of the family's 1533-position model. The record is from RNAcentral.
GACGAACGCUGGCGGCGUGCUUAACACAUGCAAGUCGAACGGAAAGGCCCGGCGUUUGCGGGGUGCUCGAGAGGGGAGCGGGUGAGUGACACGUGAGUAACCUGCCCUUGACUUUGGGAUAACUUCAGGGAACUGGGGCUAAUACCGGAUAUGAGCUCCUGCUGCAUGGGGUGGGUUGGUGAGUUUCGGCGGUUGGGUAUGGACUCGCGGCUUAUCCGCUUGUUGGUGGGGUAGUGGCGUACGAAGGCUUUGACGGGUAGCCGGCCUGGGAGGGUGACCGGACACCUUGGGACUGAGAGAGGGCCCAGACUCCUACGGGACGCAGUAGUGGGGAAUAUUGCAGAAUGGGACGAAGACUGAUGCAGCAACGCCCCGUGCGGGAUGAUGGCCUUCGGGUUGUAAACCGCUUUGGCAGGUGACGAGGCGUGAGUGACGGUAAUGGGUAAAGAAGCAACGGCUAACUACGUG